This 591-nucleotide ribosomal RNA is filed under the name Pectinepsia sumatrensis. Its description in RNAcentral is "eukaryotic LSU rRNA". It matches the Rfam family "Eukaryotic large subunit ribosomal RNA", at positions 377 to 824 of the family's 3401-position model. Lineage: Eukaryota; Metazoa; Arthropoda; Insecta; Diptera; Mycetophilidae. The record is from RNAcentral.
UAGAGAGAGAGUUCAAGAGUACGUGAAACCGCUUAGGGGUUAAGCCCGAUGAACCUGAAUAUCCGAAUUGAGAAAUUCAAUACUGUUUUAGUUUCUUCUUGAAAUGAACGACAGUGUGCACUUUUCUCAUAGUAGGACAUUGCGAUCCAUUAGUAUAGUUUAUCAAACGGCCUGUAUAGUUUGUUUAACCUAUCUGCAAUACUUGCUAUUGUAUGGUUAAUGCUAUUGCGGUGACCUGGUAAACAGCUGAUGGAGCUUAACAAUCAUGCUCGCAUGCAAAUGUAUCACGGUUUCAGGCAUGCAAAUGCUUGGGAUGCAGUGGUCGCAUGUAUUUGAUUAGCAAUGCGAUAGAUUUGGGAUACCUUCGGGACCCGUCUUGAAACACGGACCAAGAAGUCUAACAUGUGUGUAAGUCAUUGGGUAUUUCUGUUGAAACCUAAAGGCGUAAUUAAAAUAACUAUUUUAAUGGGAUUACAAGCGAUCUACAUGAUUGUUUCUCCAUCCCGGGGCGUUCUAUACGAACAUGGUUUAAGCAAUUAGGCCCUCUGUUCAAGAGCGUACCUUGAACAUACAUGCUGUGACCCGAAAGAG